Molecule: unclassified non-coding RNA, 1019 nt
Filed under: Hevea brasiliensis (rubber tree)
Lineage: Eukaryota; Viridiplantae; Streptophyta; Magnoliopsida; Malpighiales; Euphorbiaceae
Source: RNAcentral
CAAAUUACGAUGUUUGCCUAUAAUGUGAGCAAAUAUAUCAUGGCUUCUCAGUUUGAAGUUUAUUAUCUAUGUAUAAAAGAAGUUUGGAAAUUUUGAAUUCACAUGGUCCACACCAUUGGGUAAUCUCAUUGUUAAUGUUGGAACUCACUUGGUAAUUUAAAGUAAUCAAGCAUCCUUGCAUGUUAUAACCUGUUGUACAUGGUAAUAUUCUAACUGGGUGGUUUUAGAUGUUUGUGAAUUUGGAUUGACGUGCUGCAUUUUAUGGACUCUAGUGUUAAUGUUCUUUUACUUGGUUAAUGUCAUUUUGGUGUUCCUUAUCUGACGUUUACAAAGCCAAUAUGGCAAUCAACACUGUGGUGUGCCUUUUUUUUCCCCCCAUCUUCUUGAUAAUGGGCAUCAAAUGAACUUUUAGUCAUUCUAUUGAAUUUUCGUUUGAUUACAUUCAAUAAUUACAUCCUACCAAAUAUGCAUUUAUUGUUCUGUUGUGAUAAUGGCUUAUUGCCUAUUAGGAGUCUAGUUUGCUACUCCUAUCUAUAAAUAAUUGGUCUCUAUCCGUUAUCUUCCUUAAAAUAUGAUUUAUAUGUUUUACAUUAGUUACUUGAAUUGCAAGUAGCAUAAUUGUUGAGGGCCUUGAGAUAUCGUUUAUGGCCUGAUGAAAUAAUGGUGCUAAUGCUAUUAGGACUAAACUUCAUUUGUUUGUAUAAUUAGGAAAAAGUAAACCAACUCAUAUAUGCUUAAACCAACUCAUAUAUGCUUAUUUUUAUGUGAAAUAUUUAGUGCAUCUAAGCAGUCUAUGCACAAUGUCUAGUGGAAUUGAACUUCUUGUUGUCAGAAAUCUUAAUAUUCUUGUCAUUCACCUCAACCACUUGUAAUAAACUUGCUGCUUAAAAUCCACUUGUAUUGGAGAUUGACUUGUUUUAUAGAUCUCCCUGCUGGUGUCUUUGUUAUGGGCCUAUGGAAGAAAGAAGCUGUUUGGUGAGCCAGUCUCUGCUGAAUGAGGCGCUUUUUUUUUUUUUUGG